Molecule: ribosomal RNA, 464 nt
Filed under: Vreelandella stevensii
Lineage: Bacteria; Pseudomonadati; Pseudomonadota; Gammaproteobacteria; Oceanospirillales; Halomonadaceae
Description: partial 16S ribosomal RNA
Rfam family: Bacterial small subunit ribosomal RNA
Source: RNAcentral
CCUACGGGGGCUGCAGUGGGGAAUAUUGGACAAUGGGCGAAAGCCUGAUCCAGCCAUGCCGCGUGUGUGAAGAAGGCCUUCGGGUUGUAAAGCACUUUCAGUGGGGAAGAAAGCCUUGGGGCUAAUACCCUCGAGGAAGGACAUCACCCACAGAAGAAGCACCGGCUAACUCCGUGCCAGCAGCCGCGGUAAUACGGAGGGUGCGAGCGUUAAUCGGAAUUACUGGGCGUAAAGCGCGCGUAGGCGGUCUGAUAAGCCGGUUGUGAAAGCCCCGGGCUCAACCUGGGAACGGCAUCCGGAACUGUCAGGCUAGAGUGCAGGAGAGGAAGGUAGAAUUCCCGGUGUAGCGGUGAAAUGCGUAGAGAUCGGGAGGAAUACCAGUGGCGAAGGCGGUCUUCUGGACUGACACUGACGCUGAGGUGCGAAAGCGUGGGUAGCAAACAGGAUUAGAUACCCUUGUAGUC